This is a non-coding RNA of Physcomitrium patens, 547 nucleotides long. The record is from RefSeq and is a predicted model, not a curated record. NCBI's taxonomy places the organism in Eukaryota, Viridiplantae, Streptophyta, Bryopsida, Funariales, Funariaceae.
AUCACAUUUAAGGUUGACACACUGCACGUCGUCGUCAGUCUAGUUUUGCUUGCUUAUCACCAUCUCUGAAAGACCAAUUUUGUGGCAGGGUUUUGAUCAAAUGUGUGACCUUGACUUCUGAUCACGUCCGCCACUGUGGAGAAAAUCUAUUCAAAAUGGCAACCAACAAGAGCUGUCGUUUCGUGCACCUGGGCAAAGUUGCGGCCAUUGUCUGGCGUUGUUGUGCAGGUAUAGCUGCUGUUGUGGACAUAAUGUUAUGUUGUCUGAAGGAGCCGCGAGUGAGGCCGGGUGUGGGAUUGUGGGAUAUAGAGGGCGGUUUACAGGGGCCGGCAUUGCGUCGGUCAGAGAUGGGAGAACUGUAUCCAGCCCUGGUCCCAGAGGAAGACUGAAGUGCACUUCCGAUACACCCGGUACCCCUCACCCACCAGUGCAGCUCCCCCAACGCACGAGCUAUAAUCCUUGAAUUUCGAGCUGAAUAUUAACUAUGAAGUGAUCUUCAUCUAUCAAAAGAUAAGGAAAAAUUAAAAAGUGACAAAAUUAAAUUAUA